AUAUCAAUAAGCGGAGGAAAAGAAACCAACAGGGAUUACCUCAGUAACGGCGAGUGAAGCGGCUAACAGCUCAAAUUUGAAAUCUGGCCUCAACAGGGUCCGAGUUGUAAUUUGGUAGAAGCAUGCUUCGGGUGUCGGCCCGGUCUAAGUUCCUUGGAACAGGACGUCACAGAGGGUGAGAAUCCCGUAUGUGAUCCGGUGCCUUGCCCGUGUGAAGCUCUUUCGACGAGUCGAGUUGUUUGGGAAUGCAGCUCAAAAUGGGUGGUAAAUUUCAUCUAAAGCUAAAUAUUGGCCAGAGACCGAUAGCGCACAAGUAGAGUGAUCGAAAGAUGAAAAGCACUUUGGAAAGAGAGUUAAACAGUAC
Molecule: ribosomal RNA, 364 nt
Filed under: uncultured fungus
Lineage: Eukaryota; Fungi
Description: eukaryotic LSU rRNA
Rfam family: Eukaryotic large subunit ribosomal RNA
Source: RNAcentral